This 253-nucleotide ribosomal RNA is filed under the name uncultured bacterium. Its description in RNAcentral is "partial 16S ribosomal RNA". It matches the Rfam family "Bacterial small subunit ribosomal RNA", at positions 524 to 776 of the family's 1533-position model. The record is from RNAcentral.
UACGAGGGGGGCUAGCGUUGCUCGGAAUCACUGGGCGUAAAGCGCACGUAGGCGGAUUUUUAAGUCAGGGGUGAAAUCCUGGAGCUCAACUCCAGAACUGCCUUUGAUACUGGGAAUCUCGAGUCCGGAAGAGGUGAGUGGAACUGCGAGUGUAGAGGUGAAAUUCGUAGAUAUUCGCAAGAACACCAGUGGCGAAGGCGGCUCACUGGUCCGGUACUGACGCUGAGGUGCGAAAGCGUGGGGAGCAAACAGG